RNAcentral lists this transfer RNA (72 nucleotides) under Camelus dromedarius (Arabian camel). It matches the Rfam family "tRNA". Rfam says of the family: Transfer RNA (tRNA) molecules are approximately 80 nucleotides in length. Their secondary structure includes four short double-helical elements and three loops (D, anti-codon, and T loops). Further hydrogen bonds mediate the characteristic L-shaped molecular structure. tRNAs have two regions of fundamental functional importance: the anti-codon, which is responsible for specific mRNA codon recognition, and the 3' end, to which the tRNAs corresponding amino acid is attached (by aminoacyl-tRNA synthetases). tRNAs cope with the degeneracy of the genetic code in two manners: having more than one tRNA (with a specific anti-codon) for a particular amino acid; and 'wobble' base-pairing, i.e. permitting non-standard base-pairing at the 3rd anti-codon position. Lineage: Eukaryota; Metazoa; Chordata; Mammalia; Artiodactyla; Camelidae. The record is from Rfam by way of RNAcentral. RNAcentral also lists the same sequence under 1 other name.
GAAGGUUCAGCUCAGUGGUAGAGCGCGUGCUUAGCAUGCACAAGGUCCUGGGUUCAAACCCCGGUACCUCCA